This 460-nucleotide ribosomal RNA is filed under the name uncultured bacterium. RNAcentral's name for it is "partial 16S ribosomal RNA". It matches the Rfam family "Bacterial small subunit ribosomal RNA", at positions 338 to 795 of the family's 1533-position model. The record is from RNAcentral.
CCUACGGGAGGCAGCAGUGAGGAAUAUUGGUCAAUGGACGAGAGUCUGAACCAGCCAAGUAGCGUGAAGGAUGACUGCCCUAUGGGUUGUAAACUUCUUUUAUAAGGGAAUAAAACGAGGCACGUGUGCCUUUUUGCAGGUACUUUAUGAAUAAGGAUCGGCUAACUCCGUGCCAGCAGCCGCGGUAAUACGGAGGCUCCGAGCGUUAUCCGGAUUUAGUGGGUUUAAAGGGGGCGUAGAUGGGUUGUUAAGUCAGUUGUGAAAGUUUGCGGCUCAACCGUAAAAUUGCAAUUGAUACUGGCAGUCUUGAGUACAGUUGAGGUACGCGGAAUUCGUGGUGUAGCGGUGAAAUGCUUAGAUAUCACGAAGAACCCCGAUUGCGAAGGCAGCUUACUAAACUGUGACUGACAUUGAGGCUCGAAAGUGUGGGUAUCAAACAGGAUUAGAUACCCUUGUAGUC